This 107-nucleotide small nuclear RNA is filed under the name Microcebus murinus (gray mouse lemur). The record is from RNAcentral. Lineage: Eukaryota; Metazoa; Chordata; Mammalia; Primates; Cheirogaleidae.
AUGCUCACCUAGGCAGCACAUAUACUAAAAUUGGAAUGAUACAGAAAAGAUUAGCAUGGCCCCUGCGCAAAGAUGACACUCAAAUUUGUGAAAAUAAAAAACGAAAU